Molecule: ribosomal RNA, 468 nt
Filed under: uncultured bacterium
Lineage: Bacteria
Description: partial 16S ribosomal RNA
Rfam family: Bacterial small subunit ribosomal RNA
Source: RNAcentral
GACGAACGCUGGCGGCGUGCUUAACACAUGCAAGUCGAACGGAAAGGCCCUGCUUUUGUGGGGUGCUCGAGUGGCGAACGGGUGAGUAACACGUGAGUAACCUGCCCUUGACUUUGGGUUAACUUCAGGAAACUAGGCUUAAUACCGGAUUGGACCUCAUGCUGCAUGGUUGGCGUUGGAAAGUUUCGGCGGUUGGGGAUGGACUCGCGGCUUAUCAGCUUGUCGGUGGGGUAGUGGUAUACCAAUGCUUUGACGGGUAGCCGGCCUGAGAGGGUGACCGGCCACAUUGGGACUGAGAUACGGCCCAGACGCCUACGGGACGCAGCAGUGGGGAAUAUUGCACAAUGGGCGGAAGCCUGAUGCAGCAACGCCGCGUGCGGGAUGACGGCCUUCGGGUUGUAAACCGCAUUCGCCUGUGACGAAGCGUUAGUGACGGUAAUGGGUAAAGAAGCACCGGCUAACUACGUG